GGAGGGUGCAAGCGUUAUCCGGAUUCACUGGGUUUAAAGGGUGCGUAGGUGGGUUGGUAAGUCCGUGGUGAAAUCCCCAAGCUUAACUUGGGAACUGCCGUGGAUACUAUCAAUCUUGAAUAUCGUUGAGGUUAGCGGAAUAUGUCAUGUAGCGGUGAAAUGCUUAGAUAUGACAUAGAACACCGAUAGCGGAGGCAGCUAACUAAGCGAUCAUUGACACUGAGGCACGAAAGCGUGGGGAGCAAACAGGAUUAGAUACCCUGGUAGUCCACGCCCUAAACGAUGAUUACUCGACAUACGCGAUACACUGUGUGUGUCUGAGCGAAAGCAUUAAGUAAUCCACCUGGGAAGUACGAUCGCAAGAUUGAA
This 369-nucleotide ribosomal RNA is filed under the name uncultured bacterium. RNAcentral describes it as "bacterial SSU rRNA". It matches the Rfam family "Bacterial small subunit ribosomal RNA", at positions 527 to 898 of the family's 1533-position model. The record is from RNAcentral.